Molecule: small nuclear RNA, 108 nt
Organism: Saimiri boliviensis boliviensis (Bolivian squirrel monkey)
Lineage: Eukaryota; Metazoa; Chordata; Mammalia; Primates; Cebidae
Source: Ensembl
GUGCUUGCUUUAGCAGCACGUGUACUAAAGAUUAGAACAAUGCGGAGAAGAUUAGCGUGUUCCCUGCUCAAGGAUGAUACGCAAAUUCGUGAUGUGUUAAUAUUUUUU